UUUAUGGAGAGUUUGAUCCUGGCUCAGGAUGAACGCUGGCGGCGUGCCUAAUACAUGCAAGUCGAGCGAACAGACGAGG
Molecule: ribosomal RNA, 79 nt
Filed under: Staphylococcus epidermidis
Lineage: Bacteria; Bacillati; Bacillota; Bacilli; Caryophanales; Staphylococcaceae
Also listed under: 2 other names
Description: partial 16S ribosomal RNA
Rfam family: Bacterial small subunit ribosomal RNA
Source: RNAcentral